UUUUAGUUUCCUUGUCAUUUUUCACACACAAAAAAAAAAUCUCGUCUCAAACCCUGGUUUUGAAAUCGCAAUGAUCCAUGUAUUAAAAAAACUUGCAGCUGUUUUGAGUUAGAGAGGGACCAUAAAUCACUGAGGCUUCACUAGCACCGGCAGGAACGGCGGGAGUAGUUAAAGUAACAGUGAAGAUGGAUGAUGGUGGUGGGAUGCGUAACAAGCAUUCGAAGAAGAGAGGGGUAGGAGAAAGCAUGGAGGCUUCACUAGCAGGAAAAGUAACACUGAAGAUGGAUGGUGGUAGUGGUGGUGGGAUCUGUAACAACGCUGAUUUGAAGAAGAAGAAGAAGAAGAAGAAGAGGAGGAGGAGGAAGAAGAAAGAAUAACACUGAUGGUCCAGAAGCGAUGUUGUAUCUGAGGAUAUGUGUAACAACUAACAACACGAAAUUAAAGAUGAAGAAAAUAAAUAGAAACAACUUCUCCCGGAAGUAGUGAAGUAACACAAGAAACACAUUUCUUCUACAUUCCUCCUGGUCCUGAAACAACUUUUCCUGGAAGUAGUGAAGUAACACAACAAACAUCUCUCAUCUUCAUCCCUCUUGGUCCUGGUUCUUCAUCAAAGUAGUAAUAAACAAUGUGGACAUUGCGAAAAGUCAAUGGUGAUUACGUGUCUCGUCGUCCUGAAGGCAAUUUUCUUGUUACCGUUUCAUGGGAUUAUCAGAUUUGCUUUUGCGAAAUAAAGAAACCAGAAAUAAGUACUGGGAAUGUGCCAGAAGAAGCAACUAUUUGUUGCCAACCAACUUCGGAUUCCGCUUGCACCAUUGAUGCAACUACCAUUUUCACUGGUGGUAAAGUUAUGCUAUGGGUACUAAUGUCAGGAUGUCAGCCUGUGCUGGGUGGAGCCGUUAAUGAAGCUGCAAGGCUACCUGGGAUGAGCCUUCUGGCUACAGCAAACGAGGAUUAUUCUCUGAGGCAAGGAUCGAUUAAGUUGGGCAUGUUUUACUCUUUUUGUAACUGAAUAUUAAUAUUCUUAUUGAAAGGUUCUUCUUUUAUGGGGCAUGAUGAUCAAGAUGAUAUGAGUGAUUCAGCCAUUCAUGGCUAGUAUUUUAAAUAGCUCUUCGGUAGAAUAGGCAGUAUUAGUUUGCUGUAUGCUUAGUUAGGUUAAUUGUUCCUUUUAUUAUGUUCAGAAUUCUUACUUUCAUUUUACUAUGUUUUCAACUUCUUAUAUAUAUAUAUAUAUAUUUUGCAAAGCUCGCUUUCGCUCUACACUUUUUCCCUUCCUUACUCUUUGAUGUGAGAGCGCUUCGCUCCAAGCUUUCGCUUUUUAAAACCUUGACUAUUAGUGCACUCCCU
This is a long non-coding RNA of Papaver somniferum (opium poppy), 1344 nucleotides long. RefSeq lists it as uncharacterized. NCBI's taxonomy places the organism in Eukaryota, Viridiplantae, Streptophyta, Magnoliopsida, Ranunculales, Papaveraceae. The record is from RefSeq and is a predicted model, not a curated record. The transcript has 6 exons.